UGCACAGUCCAAAAUCCAUUUUGAAUAAAACCAAGUUGUCAAAAUCCACAAAUAACAUAAUAUAUUAAAACAUAUAAAAGCAGUGAAUUAUAUAUACUAAUAAGAAAAACAAAUCCAGUAAUGAGUCACACCCAAUAAAUCACAAGACAUUGGAAACUUAAGCACAGAACGAAUCUAUCUAAAUCUUCAAUUUAAAACGAGGGCCAAUCAACUCAGUGGAUCCUACAGUUUCAAUAAUUAUAAAACACUUAAACCAAAAUCAUAUAAAGCUGGUGAGAGACGGUAAAUAUUCAAAAGCGCCACUGAGCUUUAUCACAAUAAUGAAGAAUAAAAUAUUAUUAAAGUAUAUGCAUAUCCAAGGGCCCAUCUCGCAAAAGAAAGAUAUGGAAUAGAAAACACACUUAGAAGAAAACAAAGGGAGUAAAGAAAACAAGAGAGAAGUUCAAUUGAGCCAACAAUUGGCACAGAUUUCAUAUUUCACGCAGAUAGUGGAUAAAUUGGGAUGUAAAACCAAAUUAGCCAAUCAGCAAACAAACAUCAAAAUCAUAACAAGAAAGCAC
This 560-nucleotide unclassified non-coding RNA is filed under the name Hevea brasiliensis (rubber tree). The record is from RNAcentral. Lineage: Eukaryota; Viridiplantae; Streptophyta; Magnoliopsida; Malpighiales; Euphorbiaceae.